AACGAACGCUGGCGGCAUGCCUAACACAUGCAAGUCGAACGAGACCUUCGGGUCUAGUGGCGCACGGGUGCGUAACGCGUGGGAACCUGCCCUUAGGUUCGGAAUAACUCCCCGAAAGGGGUGCUAAUACCGGAUAAUGUCUUCGGACCAAAGAUUUAUCGCCUUUGGAUGGGCCCGCGUUGGAUUAGCUAGUUGGUAGGGUAAAAGCCUACCAAGGCGACGAUCCAUAGCUGGUCUGAGAGGAUGACCAGCCAGACUGGGACUGAGACACGGCCCAGACUCCUACGGGAGGAAGCAGUGGGGAAGAUUGGACGGUGGGCGAAAGCCUGAUCCAGCAAUGGCGCGUGAGUGAGGAAGGCCUUAGGGUUGUAAAGCUCUUUUACCCGGGAUGAUAAUGACAGUACCGGGAGAAUAAGCUCCGGCUAACUCCGUG
RNAcentral lists this ribosomal RNA (433 nucleotides) under uncultured bacterium. RNAcentral's name for it is "partial 16S ribosomal RNA". It matches the Rfam family "Bacterial small subunit ribosomal RNA", at positions 29 to 507 of the family's 1533-position model. The record is from RNAcentral.